UUUGAAGUGUGGACGCCAGUCUGCAUGGAGCCGACCUUGAAAUACCACCCUUUAAUGUUUGAUGUUCUAACGUGGACCCGUGAUCCGGGUUGCGGACAGUGUCUGGUGGGUAGUUUGACUGGGGCGGUCUCCUCCUAAAGAGUAACGGAGGAGCACGAAGGUUGGCUAAUCCUGGUCGGACAUCAGGAGGUUAGUGCAAUGGCAUAAGCCAGCUUGACUGCGAGCGUGACGGCGCGAGCAGGUGCGAAAGCAGGUCAUAGUGAUCCGGUGGUUCUGAAUGGAAGGGCCAUCGCUCAACGGAUAAAAGGUACUCCGGGGAUAACAGGCUGAUACCGCCCAAGAGUUCAUAUCGACGGCGGUGUUUGGCACCUCGAUGUCGGCUCAUCACAUCCUGGGGCUGAAGUAGGUCCCAAGGGUAUGGCUGUUCGCCAUUUAAAGUGGUACGCGAGCUGGGUUUAGAACGUCGUGAGACAGUUCGGUCCCUAUCUGCCGUGGGCGCUGGAGAACUGAGGGGGGCUGCUCCUAGUACGAGAGGACCGGAGUGGACGCAUCACUGGUGUUCGGGUUGUCAUGCCAAUGGCACUGCCCGGUAGCUAAAUGCGGAAGAGAUAAGUGCUGAAAGCAUCUAAGCACGAAACUUGCCCCGA
RNAcentral lists this ribosomal RNA (647 nucleotides) under Salmonella enterica. RNAcentral describes it as "partial 23S ribosomal RNA". It matches the Rfam family "Bacterial large subunit ribosomal RNA", at positions 2156 to 2802 of the family's 2925-position model. The record is from RNAcentral. Lineage: Bacteria; Pseudomonadati; Pseudomonadota; Gammaproteobacteria; Enterobacterales; Enterobacteriaceae.